GGGUCAACUCUUCUUAUAUUCAAGCCACCCUACUAAUUGAAAUCCAAGAUAUAACUCGUCAAUUCUAUUAUAGAUAUCAUAUGCCACUUAUGCAUAAAUUUCAUCUUAAUAUCUAUUGAUUCAAAAUCUAAAUAUUAAAUCUUCUCUUUUAUAUCUAUCAUGUUUCUCAUGAUCAUAACCUAAGUUCAGAUAUCACUAAAAUUACAAUUCUGAAUAAUUAUAAUCUUAAACUCAAAUACCAUUUAAAUCAUAUUUUCUAGUG
This 262-nucleotide long non-coding RNA is filed under the name Elaeis guineensis (African oil palm). RNAcentral describes it as "long non-coding RNA (EGUI_LNC010483)". Lineage: Eukaryota; Viridiplantae; Streptophyta; Magnoliopsida; Arecales; Arecaceae. The record is from RNAcentral.